Molecule: ribosomal RNA, 404 nt
Filed under: bacterium
Lineage: Bacteria
Description: partial 16S ribosomal RNA
Rfam family: Bacterial small subunit ribosomal RNA
Source: RNAcentral
UGGGGAAUCUUGCGCAAUGGGCGAAAGCCUGACGCAGCCAUGCCGCGUGAAUGAUGAAGGUCUUAGGAUUGUAAAAUUCUUUCACCGGGGACGAUAAUGACGGUACCCGGAGAAGAAGCCCCGGCUAACUUCGUGCCAGCAGCCGCGGUAAUACGAAGGGGGCUAGCGUUGCUCGGAAUUACUGGGCGUAAAGGGCGCGUAGGCGGAUCGUUAAGUCAGAGGUGAAAUCCCAGGGCUCAACCCUGGAACUGCCUUGGAUACUGGCGAUCUUGAGUAUGAGAGAGGUAUGUGGAACUCCGAGUGUAGAGGUGAAAUUCGUAGAUAUUCGGAAGAACACCAGUGGCGAAGGCGACAUACUGGCUCAUUACUGACGCUGAGGCGCGAAAGCGUGGGGAGCAAACAGG